Dermacentor andersoni is the source of this 418-nucleotide non-coding RNA. NCBI's taxonomy places the organism in Eukaryota, Metazoa, Arthropoda, Arachnida, Ixodida, Ixodidae. The record is from RefSeq and is a predicted model, not a curated record.
GUGAGUUCGGAGCACCUUCUCUGAGCUUUGCGCGGGAGCGGGCGGCUUUGACCCGUCGUCGCCGAGUGACGUCUGACCACCCUGCAAAUAUCGGCUGGCUUGCUGUUUCAAUAGAAAGGAUCCGUGCUCCAGUCGAAGACAUGGACGGCUUGCUUGGGAAAUACCUCUUCAUGGUGGUUUUUGCCACACUCGCUGCACUGAUAAUGGUCCCAAACCAAGCUGAGGCAAUUCCAAGCUCCUUCUUGGAAGCUAUCACCGGAAAGGGCACUGGACGAAAUGAAGAAAUUGCCGAGUAGCGCAGCAUCCGUCUUUGCGAUAAAAUGGGGCCGACCUUCGUUCCAAUGACAACGCCUGCUUCUUUACUGAAUAAAACGAACGAAGCAAAAAUUGACCUGGAAUGAAUAAACACCUCCAAAUC